GUGGUUACUAGCAUAUCCGACCUCAGAUCGGACGAGAUUACCCGCUGAAUUUAAGCAUAUCAAUAAGCGGAGGA
This 74-nucleotide ribosomal RNA is filed under the name Satsuma largillierti. Its description in RNAcentral is "partial 28S rRNA". The stretch from base 18 to 74 matches the Rfam family "Eukaryotic large subunit ribosomal RNA", at positions 1 to 57 of the family's 3401-position model. RNAcentral also lists the same sequence under 7 other names. The record is from RNAcentral. Lineage: Eukaryota; Metazoa; Mollusca; Gastropoda; Stylommatophora; Camaenidae.